CAGUCGCCGCGGGAAUACGUAGGUAGCAAGCGUUGUCCGGAAUUAUUGGGCGUAAAGGGCUCGCAGGCGGUUUCUUAAGUCUGAUGUGAAAGCCCCCGGCUCAACCGGGGAGGGUCAUUGGAAACUGGGAAACUUGAGUGCAGAAGAGGAGAGUGGAAUUCCACGUGUAGCGGUGAAAUGCGUAGAGAUGUGGAGGAACACCAGUGGCGAAGGCGACUCUCUGGUCUGUAACUGACGCUGAGGAGCGAAAGCGUGGGGAGCGAACAGGAUUAGAUACCCGUGUAGUCCCUGUCUCUUAUAC
This 301-nucleotide ribosomal RNA is filed under the name uncultured bacterium. RNAcentral's name for it is "partial 16S ribosomal RNA". It matches the Rfam family "Bacterial small subunit ribosomal RNA", at positions 509 to 807 of the family's 1533-position model. The record is from RNAcentral.